GAUGAACGCUGGCGGCGUGCCUAAUACAUGCAAGUCGAGCGAACAGACGAGGAGCUUGCUCCUCUGACGUUAGCGGCGGACGGGUGAGUAACACGUGGAUAACCUACCUAUAAGACUGGGAUAACUUCGGGAAACCGGAGCUAAUACCGGAUAAUAUAUUGAACCGCAUGGUUCAAUAGUGAAAGACGGUUUUGCUGUCACUUAUAGAUGGAUCCGCGCCGCAUUAGCUAGUUGGUAAGGUAACGGCUUACCAAGGCAACGAUGCGUAGCCGACCUGAGAGGGUGAUCGGCCACACUGGAACUGAGACACGGUCCAGACUCCUACGGGAGGCAGCAGUAGGGAAUCUUCCGCAAUGGGCGAAAGCUUGACGGAGCAACGCCGCGUGAGUGAUGAAGGUCUUCGGAUCGUGAAACUCUGUUAUUAGGGAAGAACAAAUGUGUAAGUAACUAUGCACGUCUUAACGGUACCUAAUCAGAAAGCCACGGCUAACUACGUG
Molecule: ribosomal RNA, 497 nt
Filed under: uncultured bacterium
Lineage: Bacteria
Description: partial 16S ribosomal RNA
Rfam family: Bacterial small subunit ribosomal RNA
Source: RNAcentral